Molecule: long non-coding RNA, 437 nt
Organism: Sceloporus undulatus (fence lizard)
Lineage: Eukaryota; Metazoa; Chordata; Lepidosauria; Squamata; Phrynosomatidae
Exons: 3
Source: RefSeq, a predicted model, not a curated record
GCAAGCAGACAAACAAGCAGGCAAGUAAACAAACCUGCCAGCCAGCCAGCCAGCCAGCCAACCAACCAAAGAAACAAAAAAACACUUCUUGAAAUCAGCUGUCUUCAGUUUUGUUCAGAAGACAGUUCUACUGAAUGCAGAGGAAGUACUCCUAGCUAACUGCAUCUGGGAGAGUUUAAAUGAAGAAUGCUUUGAACAGAGGUGACAAACUGCACAGCAAGCAUGUUUUCAGGUUAAAAAAAUCAUGGAUUGCCAGCAUUGGUUAUUUAAGAUAUACAGUGUGCCUGAACCCUCCUGCGUAAGGCAAAUACUGGAUAUGCUCGAGCUCCAUUGAAAACGACAUGGCUCAUGCAUUCGGUGCAGCAUGGUGUGUGCACCAUAAGCACACGUGCCUUUGCCUCUACCGUUAUGUGGAUUUCAGUGUAAGCUGAAAGCUG